RNAcentral lists this ribosomal RNA (850 nucleotides) under Bacillus velezensis. Its description in RNAcentral is "bacterial SSU rRNA". It matches the Rfam family "Bacterial small subunit ribosomal RNA", at positions 71 to 902 of the family's 1533-position model. Lineage: Bacteria; Bacillati; Bacillota; Bacilli; Caryophanales; Bacillaceae. The record is from RNAcentral.
GAUGGGAGCUUGCUCCCUGAUGUUAGCGGCGGACGGGUGAGUAACACGUGGGUAACCUGCCUGUAAGACUGGGAUAACUCCGGGAAACCGGGGCUAAUACCGGAUGGUUGUUUGAACCGCAUGGUUCAGACAUAAAAGGUGGCUUCGGCUACCACUUACAGAUGGACCCGCGGCGCAUUAGCUAGUUGGUGAGGUAACGGCUCACCAAGGCGACGAUGCGUAGCCGACCUGAGAGGGUGAUCGGCCACACUGGGACUGAGACACGGCCCAGACUCCUACGGGAGGCAGCAGUAGGGAAUCUUCCGCAAUGGACGAAAGUCUGACGGAGCAACGCCGCGUGAGUGAUGAAGGUUUUCGGAUCGUAAAGCUCUGUUGUUAGGGAAGAACAAGUGCCGUUCAAAUAGGGCGGCACCUUGACGGUACCUAACCAGAAAGCCACGGCUAACUACGUGCCAGCAGCCGCGGUAAUACGUAGGUGGCAAGCGUUGUCCGGAAUUAUUGGGCGUAAAGGGCUCGCAGGCGGUUUCUUAAGUCUGAUGUGAAAGCCCCCGGCUCAACCGGGGAGGGUCAUUGGAAACUGGGGAACUUGAGUGCAGAAGAGGAGAGUGGAAUUCCACGUGUAGCGGUGAAAUGCGUAGAGAUGUGGAGGAACACCAGUGGCGAAGGCGACUCUCUGGUCUGUAACUGACGCUGAGGAGCGAAAGCGUGGGGAGCGAACAGGAUUAGAUACCCUGGUAGUCCACGCCGUAAACGAUGAGUGCUAAGUGGUUAGGGGGUUUCCGCCCCUUAGUGCUGCAGCUAACGCAUUAAGCACUCCGCCUGGGGGAGUACGGUCGCAAGACUGAAACUC